UGGGGAAUUUUGGACAAUGGGCGAAAGCCUGAUCCAGCAAUGCCGCGUGUGUGAAGAAGGCCUUCGGGUUGUAAAGCACUUUUGUCCGGAAAGAAAUCCUCUGGGUUAAUACCUCGGGGGGAUGACGGUACCGGAAGAAUAAGCACCGGCUAACUACGUGCCAGCAGCCGCGGUAAUACGUAGGGUGCAAGCGUUAAUCGGAAUUACUGGGCGUAAAGCGUGCGCAGGCGGUUUUGUAAGACGGAUGUGAAAUCCCCGGGCUUAACCUGGGAACUGCAUUCGUGACUGCAAGGCUAGAGUAUGGCAGAGGGGGGUAGAAUUCCACGUGUAGCAGUGAAAUGCGUAGAGAUGUGGAGGAAUACCGAUGGCGAAGGCAGCCCCCUGGGCCAAUACUGACGCUCAUGCACGAAAGCGUGGGGAGCAAACAGGAUUAGAUACCCUGGUAGUCCACGCCCUAAACGAUGUCAACUAGUUGUUGGGGAUUCAUUUCCUUAGUAACGUAGCUAACGCGUGAGGUUGACCGCCUGGGGAGUACGGUCGCAAGAUUAAAACUCAAAUGAAUUGACGGGGUCAUAGCUGUUUCC
Molecule: ribosomal RNA, 584 nt
Filed under: uncultured bacterium
Lineage: Bacteria
Description: partial 16S ribosomal RNA
Rfam family: Bacterial small subunit ribosomal RNA
Source: RNAcentral